Molecule: ribosomal RNA, 443 nt
Filed under: uncultured bacterium
Lineage: Bacteria
Description: partial 16S ribosomal RNA
Rfam family: Bacterial small subunit ribosomal RNA
Source: RNAcentral
CCUACGGGAGGCAGCAGUGGGGGAUAUUGGACAAUGGGGGGAACCCUGAUCCAGCGACGCCGCGUGAGUGAAGAAGUAUUUCGGUAUGUAAAGCUCUGUCAGCAGGGAAGAAAGAAAUGACGGUACCUGACCAAGAAGCCCCGGCUAACUACGUGCCAGCAGCCGCGGUAAUACGGAGGGGGCAAGCGUUAUCCGGAAUUACUGGGUGUAAAGGGAGCGUAGACGGUUAAGUAAGUCUGGAGUGAAAGGCCGGGGCCCAACCCCGGGACUGCUCUGGAUACUAUUGCACUAGAGUGCAGGAGGGGGAAGCGGAAUGCCUAGUGUAGCGGUGAAAUGCGUAGAUAUUGGGAGGAACACCAGUGGCGAAGGCGGCUUACUGGACUGUAACUGACGUUGAGGCUCGAAAGCGUGGGGAGCGAACAGGAUUAGAUACCCCUGUAGUC